Molecule: long non-coding RNA, 285 nt
Filed under: Cicer arietinum (chickpea)
Lineage: Eukaryota; Viridiplantae; Streptophyta; Magnoliopsida; Fabales; Fabaceae
Description: long non-coding RNA (CARI_LNC000031)
Source: RNAcentral
AAAAUACAAAUUUAAUCAAAUUCAUAACUUAAAUCUUGAAAUAAACUCAUAUUUUCAUUCUUUAUUUGAUGUUGUUGGCGAUGAAAAUAUGAGUGUAUUUGAAUAUUUUAGUUAUGAAUCUGAUAAAAUUUGCAUUAUAUUGAAGAUGAUUAUCAAUUUUAUGGGUUUUGAUUGAAAAUUUUGAUGAUUUUUUUGAAUUUUUGUAUAAAAAAGGAUAACAUUGUUGAAAUUUUAAAACAUAAAAUAUCAAAUUGUCACUUAAAAUUAAAAUAAAGGACCAACUCG